AGUAGUUUGAUCAGUGGCUCAGGACGAACGCUGGCGGCGUGCUUUAGACAUGCAAGUCGAACGAGAUCUUCGGAUCUAGUGGCGAAACGGCGGAGUAAUACAUAAACAACGUGCCCUGAAGACUGGGAUAUACGGUCGAAAGGCCGAGCAAUACCGGAUGUGGCCGAGACUAGGCAUCUAGACUCGAUUAAAUGGUUUUUCGCUUCAGGAGCGGUUUAUGACUCAUCAGCUAGUUGGUAGGGUAAUGGCCUACCAAGGCUACGACGGGUAGGGGGUCUGAGAGGAUGAUCCCCCCGAGUGGGACUGAGACACGGCCCACACACCUACGGGUGGCAGCAGUUUGGAAUCUUGCCCAAUGGGGAAACCCUGAGGCAGCGACGCCGCGUGGAGGAUGAAGGAUUUAGGUCUGUAAACUCCUUUUGCCAGGAAAGACUUAGGACGGUACCCGGCGAAUAAGCUCCGGCUAACUACGUG
Molecule: ribosomal RNA, 474 nt
Filed under: uncultured bacterium
Lineage: Bacteria
Description: bacterial SSU rRNA
Rfam family: Bacterial small subunit ribosomal RNA
Source: RNAcentral